RNAcentral lists this ribosomal RNA (558 nucleotides) under Talaromyces helicus var. major. RNAcentral describes it as "eukaryotic LSU rRNA". It matches the Rfam family "Eukaryotic large subunit ribosomal RNA", at positions 87 to 660 of the family's 3401-position model. Lineage: Eukaryota; Fungi; Ascomycota; Eurotiomycetes; Eurotiales; Trichocomaceae. The record is from RNAcentral.
CGGCGAGUGAAGCGGCAAGAGCUCAAAUUUGAAAUCUGGCCCCUCCGGGGUCCGAGUUGUAAUUUGCAGAGGAUGCUUCGGGAGCGGUCCCCGUCUAAGUGCCCUGGAACGGGCCGUCAUAGAGGGUGAGAAUCCCGUCUGGGAUGGGCGGCCGCGCCCGUGUGAAGCGCCUUCGACGAGUCGAGUUGUUUGGGAAUGCAGCUCUAAGUGGGUGGUAAAUUUCAUCUAAAGCUAAAUACUGGCCGGAGACCGAUAGCGCACAAGUAGAGUGAUCGAAAGAUGAAAAGCACUUUGAAAAGAGAGUUAAACAGCACGUGAAAUUGUUGAAAGGGAAGCGUUGUCCACCAGACUCGCCCGGGGGGGUUCAGCCGGCACUCGUGCCGGUGUACUCUCCUCCGGGCGGGCCAGCAUCGGUUUGGGCGGCUGGUGAAAGGCCCCGGGAAUGUAACACCCUCCGGGGUGCCUUAUAGCCCGGGGUGCCAUGCGGCCAGCCUGGACCGAGGCCCGCGCUUCGGCGAGGAUGCUGGCGUAAUGGUGGUCAACGGCCCGUCUUGAAAC